UAGGGAAUCUUCCGCAAUGGACGCAAGUCUGACGGAGCAACGCCGCGUGAGUGAAGAAGGAUUUCGGUUCGUAAAACUCUGUUGUUAGAGAAGAACAGCGCAUAGAGUAACUGUUAUGCGUGUGACGGUAGCUAACCAGAAAGCCACGGCUAGCUACGUGCCAGCAGUCGCGGUAAUACGUAGGUGGCAAGCGUUGUCCGGAUUUAUUGGGCGUAAAGCGAGCGCAGGCGGUCAAUUAAGUCUGAUGUGAAAGCCCCCGGCUCAACCGGGGAGGGUCAUUGGAAACUGGUUGACUUGAGUGCAGAAGAGGAGAGUGUAAUUCCAUGUGUAGCGGUGAAAUGCGUAGAUAUAUGGAGGAACACCAGUGGCGAAGGCGACUCUCUGGUCUGUAACUGACGCUGAGGCUCGAAAGCGUGGGUAGCAAACAGG
RNAcentral lists this ribosomal RNA (429 nucleotides) under Bacteroidota bacterium. RNAcentral's name for it is "Bacteroidetes bacterium partial 16S ribosomal RNA". It matches the Rfam family "Bacterial small subunit ribosomal RNA", at positions 355 to 776 of the family's 1533-position model. Lineage: Bacteria; Pseudomonadati; Bacteroidota. The record is from RNAcentral.